Long non-coding RNA from Alosa sapidissima (American shad), 1634 nucleotides. RefSeq lists it as uncharacterized. The record is from RefSeq and is a predicted model, not a curated record. The transcript has 3 exons. Lineage: Eukaryota; Metazoa; Chordata; Actinopteri; Clupeiformes; Clupeidae.
GGGUUAUCAGUAAUACAGGUGUUUGUUCCAAUCCUCUUCUAGAUCUACGAGAGACAGCUGAGCUGGUGUCCUCUUCCGGAGUGAUCCUCCUCAAAGCUCCUGACUUGGAAAAGGACGCAAAUAUAUCAGGAGGACAGAGACAUUGAUAUGUGUGACAUUCUUGAAUGAGACAGCCAUCCAUGUAAAUUUAAAGCAGGUCAUGUGUGUACCAUUGCAUUCACAUGCACUGACGUGUAUAAUCAGAUUAUAUAAUAUAAUAAUAAUAAUAACACUAAAUGUAUAAUCAGAUUAAAUAAUUAAUAUAAUGACACUGAAUGUAUAUUGCAAUUCACAUUAAGAGUAGCCUAACCCCUGUCUACACACACACACACAAACAAACACACACACAUGCAUACAUUACUAAGCAGAUCAACCAAAUUGAAAUUAUUAAAAUGAAUCAGACUUCAACGUAAUGCUCUACAACAUGUCGACUUGAAAACUUUUUUUAUUAAUUUAUUUAUUUUUGUCCCCCAAGUUACCAUUAGCUCAAUGUUGUUUUCUGUGCCACCGGUAAUGCUUUAGGAAUGCACAUGUUUUUAUAUGCAGUUGAAAGGGUCUAUAUGUAAGACAGCUUUCACUGCAUGACCUCACCAACGAACCAUACAGCCAAAAGAUGCCAGUGAGUAUUCUAGCUAGGAGUGCCAACGGAAAUGUUCCCUGGUUUUUGUAUGCUUUUAAGGGAGGCAACUUGUUCUUUUUUUCCUUUUUUUUUUUACCAAUUCUCCAGAAAUGCUUGUUUUUUUUUCUUUUUUCAGAGCUCAUAGAUUCCCCCAGAGCUGCAUGGCACUGCAGUAAGAAGCAGGACAGCACGUCCUGUGCCACCAUCUUGGCUCCUGUCACCCGGCGGUGUCCCCAGUUGCCUUUGAACAGGCUGUAAUGGGAUUGGGUCUUCGCCAUUGUUGCUUUUAAUUGGCUCUGAGAUGGUUUGGGGGGCUUGGGCAGAUUUUGGGGCUCCUCUUUUGUAUUUGUCGACACUACUUUCUCUCUCUCUCUCUCUCCCUCUCUGUCUCUGUCUAUUCCUCUCUGGGUAGGGUGGUGGAGCUGGGCUCAUGUCAGCCUGCUCUCCCUCUCUCUCUCUCUCCAUCUCUCUCACUCCCUCUCUCUCUCUCUCACUUGUUCGCUCUAAUGCUUAGGUGUAUGAUACUUAUCAGUCAGGAGGAUGGCUGCCUUUCUCCUGAGCCAUCCACGGGGUGAAUGGGUGAUAAUAUGAUGUGAAAGAGAGGUGAAUGGUGACAGAGUGAGAGAGGGAGCGUGUUGGAGAGGAAGUGUGUGUGCUGAAAUGUUGCUUUUCAUUCACUUUUCCUCAGCACAUCUGCUAUUAGAGGUUUAGGUUAUCUAGAUAGAUCUUGCUAUCAAUCUCAAGGUUUUAUGUACCAAGAAGGCAUUUUUUUCUACCUUGUAAAAUGUAAAGUUAUUCCAUGUUUUGUGAAAGGUAGUAAAUAUGAUUAUAUCACAUUUUUUAUUAAAAAUGUUUUCGAAAAAGGUGGUUUAGUUUCAAUUGACUAUCAUACUCAUGUCAUUUUUGGGGUCUAACUUUGGUGUGUGUACGUGUAUAUCUGUGUGUGUGUACAUGCUUAUGCAUGAAUUUGUAUUUA